This 332-nucleotide ribosomal RNA is filed under the name uncultured eukaryote. Its description in RNAcentral is "partial 18S ribosomal RNA". It matches the Rfam family "Eukaryotic small subunit ribosomal RNA", at positions 1470 to 1796 of the family's 1831-position model. The record is from RNAcentral.
CCCUUAGAUGUCCGGGGCCGCACGCGCGCUACACUGUAGAUCGCAGCGAGUGUAGUUUCUGUCCCUCCCGUAGCCGGGUGGGUAAACCAUUGAAAGAUCGAACGUGGCUUGGGAUCGGGCCUUGAAAUUAUUGCCCGUGAACGAGGAAUUCCCAGUAAGCGCGAGUCAUAAGCUGGCGUUGAUUACGUCCCUGCCCUUUGUACACACCGCCCGUCGCUCCUACCGAUCGAAGAGUUAGGUGAAUUGUUUUGAUCGAUAAGAUUUGACUAUGGUCAACUCUCGUUGUGAAAUUCUGUGAAUCUGACUGUUUAGAGGAAGGAAAAGUCGUAACA